RNAcentral lists this transfer RNA (40 nucleotides) under Eucamptodon perichaetialis. Its description in RNAcentral is "partial tRNA-Phe". Lineage: Eukaryota; Viridiplantae; Streptophyta; Bryopsida; Dicranales; Rhabdoweisiaceae. The record is from RNAcentral.
GCCGGAUUAGCUCAGUUGGUAGAGCAGAGGACUGAAAAUC